RNAcentral lists this ribosomal RNA (1990 nucleotides) under Callophyllis rhynchocarpa. Its description in RNAcentral is "eukaryotic LSU rRNA". It matches the Rfam family "Eukaryotic large subunit ribosomal RNA", at positions 51 to 2190 of the family's 3401-position model. Lineage: Eukaryota; Rhodophyta; Florideophyceae; Gigartinales; Kallymeniaceae. The record is from RNAcentral.
CGGAGGAAAAGAAACUAACAAGGAUUCCCCUAGUAGCGGCGAGCGAAGCGGGAAAAGCCCAAUAUGAAAAGCCUGCUUGCAGGCGUUGUAUUUGGAAGUCUCUGGGGUGUCAGUGCGUGUAAGUUGUAUGGAAAUACACGCCGUGGAGGGUGAGAGCCCCGUCCAACGCGCACAGGACACUCCGUACGAGGCUUUCCUAAUGAGUCGGGUAGCUUGGGAAUGCUGCUCUAAUUGGUGGUAAAUCUCAUCAAAGGCUAAAUAUUGACCGGAGACCGAUAGCGAACAAGUACCGUGAGGGAAAGAUGACAAGCACUUUGAAAAGAGGGUGAAAAGAGCCUGAAACCGUCAUGGGGGAAGCGGAUUGCGUUGUAUUGAUGGGUUGCUGUGUGUUCAGCCGUUUUGGUGUAUUGGCACGGUAGCUUAUCUGUCGUGGGUUUCAAAUGGCUGAUUUUGAGCUGUUUGGGGCUGAGGGCUCCCCGUAUGGGUGAGGACGACAGAGUGAUGACGCGAUACGACCCGUCUUGAAACACGGACCAAGGAGUCUAGCGCGGUUGCGAGUCGAAGGGUGCAAGCCUGAGGGCGUAGUGAAAGCGAGUUUAAAACGAGCAGUUUGGGGCGGCAUAGGAUCGUUGAUUCUAAGUCUGACCUUGAGCAAUUGCGCUGGGACCCGAAAGAUGGUGAACUAUGCCGGAGUAGGGCAAAGCCAGAGGAAACUCUGGUGGAGGCUCGUAGCGGUGCUGACGUGCAAAUCGCUCGUCGAACUUGGGUAUAGGGGCGAAAGACUAAUCGAACCAUCUAGUAGCUGGUUCCCUCCGAAGUUUCUCUCAGGAUAGCGGGCCGACAUGUGUUGUUUUGUGCGGUAAAGCGAAUGAUUAGCGCACUCGGGGGCAAUUUGUCUUCGGGCGAUUCUCAAACUUUCAAUGCGCAAGGGUGCCGCUGCUUGGUUGAGCGGCACCGGCAAAAACGUCGGCCCUGUGGGCCACUUUUGGUAAGCAGAACUGGCGAUACGGGAUGAACCGUAAGCGUGGUUAAGGCGCCAAACUGCCCGCUUAGAGACCCCACAAAAGGUGUUGAUUCAUCGAGACAGCAGGACGGUGGCCAUGGAAGUCGGAAUCCGCUAAGGAGUGUGUAACAACUCACCUGCCGAAUGAAUUAGCCCUGAAAAUGGAUGGCGCUGAAGCGGGCGGCCGACACCACGCCGUCUGGUAAAGAAUUAUGAUCAGAUGAGUAGGAGGGCGUGGCGGUUGUAUCGAAGGGUAUGUGCAGACAUGCCUGGAACGGCCGCUAGUGCAGAUCUUGGUGGUAGUAGCAAGUAUUCAAGCGAGAUCCUUGAAGGGCGAAGCGGGGAAGGGUUCCACGCGAACAUUGAUUGGGCGUGGGUGAGUCGUUCCUAAGUCGAGUGGCGAUUGCUAAGUAGCGGCGAAAGGGAAGCUGGUUGACAUUCCAGCACACGGAUGUGGAGGCGGUGACGCGUAUUGGGACGAACACGCUGGCGGUGGCGCUGGGCAGAGUUGUCUUUUCUGUUUGACUUUGCGCGCGCGGUGUGGAAUCCGCUUGUCGGGAGAAACACGCGUGUCGAGGCAGAGCGCCGGGGCUUUUCCGGCGUCCAGCUCGCCACCGACGGCCCUUGAAACUUUGUCUGCUUAAUAAAUCCACGCCGUGGCGUACCGAUCACCGCAUCAGGUCCCCAAGGUGAACAGCCUCUGCUCUAUAUGAACAAUGCAGGUAAGGGAAGUCGGCAAAUUAGACCCGUAACUUUGGGAUAAGGGUUGGCUCUAGUGCUGCGUGGGAGUGGUUGCCCACGGUUGGGGAGGUUGGCGACGCUGGCUUGGCGCGGGGCCUUCGGGACUUGUGCCGGCUGCUGAGCUGGUUUUUCUGCUUUGGGCGACGCCCACAGCAUGCAGCAGACUAGAACUGCAACGGGCAAAGGGAAUCCGACUGUUUAAUUAAAACAAAGCAUUGCGAGGGCCGUGGCCGGUGAUGACGCAAU